GAUCAUGGCUCAGGAUGAACGCUGGCGGCGUGCUUAACACAUGCAAGUCGAACGAAGCACUUUAAUUGAUUUCUUCGGAAUGAAGUUUUGUGACUGAGUGGCGGACGGGUGAGUAACGCGUGGGUAACCUGCCUCAUACAGGGGGAUAACAGUUGGAAACGACUGCCAAUACCGCAUAAGCGCACAGGAUUGCAUGAUCCAGUGUGAAAAACUCCGGUGGUAUGAGAUGGACCCCG
This 236-nucleotide ribosomal RNA is filed under the name uncultured bacterium. Its description in RNAcentral is "partial 16S ribosomal RNA". It matches the Rfam family "Bacterial small subunit ribosomal RNA", at positions 15 to 235 of the family's 1533-position model. The record is from RNAcentral.